RNAcentral lists this unclassified non-coding RNA (352 nucleotides) under soil metagenome. RNAcentral's name for it is "partial contains 5.8S ribosomal RNA, internal transcribed spacer 2, and large subunit ribosomal RNA". The stretch from base 1 to 120 matches the Rfam family "5.8S ribosomal RNA", at positions 35 to 154 of the family's 154-position model. The record is from RNAcentral.
GAUGAAGAACGUAGCGAAAUGCGAUAAGUAAUGUGAAUUGCAGAAUUCAGUGAAUCAUCGAAUCUUUGAACGCACAUUGCGCCCGCCAGUAUUCUGGCGGGCAUGCCUGUUCGAGCGUCAUUUCAACCCUCAGGCCCCCAGUGCCUGGUGUGGGGGAUCGGCCCAGCCUUCCUGUAAGGCCGCCGGCCCCGAAAUCUAGUGGCGGUCUCGCUGUAGUCCUCCUCUGCGUAGUAGCACAACCUCGCAGUUGGAACGCGGCGGUGGCCAUGCCGUUAAACACCCCACUUCUGAAAGUUGACCUCGGAUCAGGUAGGAAUACCCGCUGAACUUUAGCAUAUCAAUAAGCGGAGGA